GGACACAGUGCUUUCCACUACAGUGUUAAAGACCAACUGGCCAGGUCUCCUGAGGGAAUCUGCUUUGUAACCAAGCAAUGGCAGAGGAGAUAGUGAUCCCUCUGCGCUUCGGACCCCUUGUAGUGGGGCAGGAAGCGGUGUGGAUGGCAAACAGGAAACCCCAGCCCCAUUGCACCACACGAGGAAGGAGACUUGAGCUGCGGGCUGGGGCCCUGCCAAGACCUAGAGAUGGCAAGAGAUGCCAGAUCAUGCUUCCCAAACCCAAGCCUGUCCUGGGCAUGGGCAAAAUGUGGGCUGCCUCGGAAGGAAAUGGCAUACUCUGCCUUCUGCCUUCCUGCUUUAUGGAACAGAAGCCCCAUCACUGCCUGGACUCCUUUAACCCCUACACCAACCUCAUUACGAAAGAAACUUUAUUAUCCUCAUUUUGCAGUUGAACAGUUGAGGCACAAAGAAGCUAUGCCACUUGCCCAAAGACACACAGCUAGAAGGGGCGGAGCUGAGGCUCAAAUCCAGGGCGGUGCAGGUGCCAAGCGGAACCCCUGUAGACUACAGCUUCUCUUGAGGUGAUAAGGAAGAAAGUGCUUUCAGCCAAAAAUCAGCCAACCCAACUGUAUUCUGGAGGAGAGGUUCUCCCACUUGAGUGUGUAUUGGAAUCUCUCCGAGGGCUCGUUAAAAUACAGAUUGCAGGUCCCUUUGCCCCAGUUUCUGAUUCAGUAAUUCUGGGGUGGGGUCUGAGAAGGUGCAGUUCUAAUAAGCGCCCAGGGCUGCUGCUGAUGCUGCUGGUGGUAGCAGGCUCUAGAUGCUUUAUCUUAGUCCCUCCAAGAACCUCAGGGGGAAGACUUCACUUUACAAAUGAGGAAACAGAAGGUCUCAGAGGUUAGGUGGCUUGUCCCAGGUGGCACAGCCGACAUGCAGCCCAGUGCUCCUGUGGCUCUCUGGCUGAGCGCUGGAUCUGAGAGGGCCACUAUGCGAGUAGCAGGUGCAGGCUGGCUCCAGCUACCAGCCCACAGCAGGCUGGGAGGUCUGGGGGAUGGGAGGCGAGUGAGUGACCAGCCCAGAGGACAAGCUGUGGGAAAAGCAGACCCUGCAGGGGCCAGGGAGAGAGGCCCAGAGCCGCAGGUCCAGGACGUGGGCACUUGCAGUCACAGAGCCACUGACUCUCAGUCCCUUAUCACACACUGGGUGGGACACUGAGGGGACAAUGAACUACCCCUCCCAUUCACAGGCCCCGCAGACCAUCCCCACCCCAUUCCCAGAAAAACCCCGAUGCUUGGUAACUGACAGGCACAGCCCCUUCCUGGCAAGCUACCGCACUCCCAUCCCCGGAGCUGCCCCUGCCUGGCCCACCGACACAGGAGGAACUGAAACACAGCAAGGGCCAUGCUGGGGUUUCUUCAAGCAUGUCAGCCUACGAAGCCGCCACUCUUCUGCCACCAACUGUGGCCCAGCCCGGCCCAGCCCUCCCUGCCCAAGCUGUCUGCACAGGCCUGGGUUCCCAGACGCGACUGUGGAAGAUGGGAGGAAGCGGUCCUGGGACUCCUGCCGGAAAGGCCUGCCUCCAGCUCCACCCCAGUGGGAGGGUGGCCAGGUCAGGUUCCAUGGUUCACACCUGUAAUCCCAGCAAUUUGGGAGGCCGAGACGGGAGGAUGGCUUGCAUGCAGGAGUUCAAGACCAGCUUGGGCAACAUGGCAAAACCUUGUCUCUAUAAAAAAUAAAAAAUUAGCUGAG
Molecule: long non-coding RNA, 1728 nt
Organism: Homo sapiens (human)
Lineage: Eukaryota; Metazoa; Chordata; Mammalia; Primates; Hominidae
Exons: 2
Source: RefSeq, a predicted model, not a curated record